GCUGGCGGCGUGCUUAACACAUGCAAGUCGCGUGCGCAGUUGCCGUAGCAAUACGGUGAUGGGCGCACGGCGCACGGGUGCGUAACACGUGGGCAAUCUGCCCUCUGAUGGGGAAUAACCCGCCGAAAGGCGGGCUAAUUCCGCAUAAGAUUCCCGGGACUUCGGUCCUGGGAUUGAAAGCAGUAAUGCGUCGGAGGAGGAGCCCGCGCCCGAUUAGCUAGUUGGUGAGGUAACGGCUCACCAAGGCUAUGAUCGGUAGCUGGUCUGAGAGGAUGAUCAGCCACACUGGAACUGAGACACGGUCCAGACUCCUACGGGAGGCAGCAGUGGGGAAUCUUGCACAAUGGGCGAAAGCCUGAUGCAGCGACGCCGCGUGGGGGAUGAAGCAUUUCGGUGUGUAAACCCCUUUCGACUGGGACGAAUGCCUCGCAAGAGGAGUGACGGUACCAGUAGAA
RNAcentral lists this ribosomal RNA (455 nucleotides) under uncultured soil bacterium. RNAcentral's name for it is "bacterial SSU rRNA". It matches the Rfam family "Bacterial small subunit ribosomal RNA", at positions 35 to 486 of the family's 1533-position model. The record is from RNAcentral.